AUAGGGUCAAGUGAAUAAGUGCAUCAGGCGGAUGCCUUGGCGAUGAUAGGCGACGAAGGACGUGUAAGCCUGCGAAAAGCGCGGGGGAGCUGGCAAUAAAGCUAUGAUUCCGCGAUGUCCGAAUGGGGAAACCCACUGCAUUCUGUGCAGUAUCCUAAGUUGAAUACAUAGGCUUAGAGAAGCGAACCCGGAGAACUGAACCAUCUAAGUACCCGGAGGAAAAGAAAUCAACCGAGAUUCCGCAAGUAGUGGCGAGCGAACGCGGAGGAGCCUGUACGUAAUAACUGUCGAGAUAGAAGAACAAGCUGGGAAGCUUGACCAUAGCGGGUGACAGUCCCGUAUUCGAAAUCUCAACAGCGGUACUAAGCGUACGAAAAGUAGGGCGGGACACGUGAAAUCCUGUCUGAAUAUGGGGGGACCAUCCUCCAAGGCUAAUACUCAUCAUCGACCGAUAGUGAACCAGUACCGUGAGGGAAAGGCGAAAAGAACCCCGGGAGGGGAGUGAAACAGAACCUGAAACCUGAUGCAUACAAACAGUGGGAGCGCCCUAGUGGUGUGACUGCGUACCUUUUGUAUAAUGGGUCAACGACUUACAUUCAGUAGCGAGCUUAACCGGAUAGGGGAGGCGUAGGGAAACCGAGUCUUAAUAGGGCGAUGAGUUGCUGGGUGCAGACCCGAAACCGAGUGAUCUAUCCAUGGCCAGGUUGAAGGUGCCGUAACAGGUACUGGAGGACCGAACCCACGCAUGUUGCAAAAUGCGGGGAUGAGCUGUGGGUAGGGGUGAAAGGCUAAACAAACUCGGAGAUAGCUGGUUCUCCCCGAAAACUAUUUAGGUAGUGCCUCGAGCAAGACACUGAUGGGGGUAAAGCACUGUUAUGGCUAGGUAGGGGUUAUUGCAACUUACCAACCCAUGGCAAACUCAGAAUACCAUCAAGUGGUUCCUCGGGAGACAGACAGCGGGUGCUAACGUCCGUUGUCAAGAGGGAAACAACCCAGACCGCCGGCUAAGGUCCCAAAUGAUAGAUUAAGUGGUAAACGAAGUGGGAAGGCACAGACAGCCAGGAUGUUGGCUUAGAAGCAGCCAUCAUUUAAAGAAAGCGUAAUAGCUCACUGGUCGAGUCGUCCUGCGCGGAAGAUGUAACGGGGCUCAAAUCUAUAACCGAAGCUGCGGAUGCCGGUUUACCGGCAUGGUAGGGGAGCGUUCUGUAGGCUGAUGAAGGUGCAUUGUAAAGUGUGCUGGAGGUAUCAGAAGUGCGAAUGUUGACAUGAGUAGCGAUAAAGCGGGUGAAAAGCCCGCUCGCCGAAAGCCCAAGGUUUCCUACGCAACGUUCAUCGGCGUAGGGUAAGUCGGCCCCUAAGGCGAGGCAGAAAUGCGUAGUCGAUGGGAAACAGGUUAAUAUUCCUGUACUUGAUUCAAAUGCGAUGUGGGGACGGAGAAGGUUAGGUUGGCAAGCUGUUGGAAUAGCUUGUUUAAGCCGGUAGGUGGAAGACUUAGGCAAAUCCGGGUUUUCUUAACACCGAGAAGUGAUGACGAGUGUCUACGGACACGAAGCAACCGAUACCACGCUUCCAGGAAAAGCCACUAAGCUUCAGUUUGAAUCGAACCGUACCGCAAACCGACACAGGUGGGCAGGAUGAGAAUUCUAAGGCGCUUGAGAGAACUCGGGAGAAGGAACUCGGCAAAUUGAUACCGUAACUUCGGGAGAAGGUAUGCCCUCUAAGGUUAAGGACUUGCUCCGUAAGCCCCGGAGGGUCGCAGAGAAUAGGUGGCUGCGACUGUUUAUUAAAAACACAGCACUCUGCCAACACGAAAGUGGACGUAUAGGGUGUGACGCCUGCCCGGUGCCGGAAGGUUAAUUGAAGAUGUGCAAGCAUCGGAUCGAAGCCCCGGUAAACGGCGGCCGUAACUAUAACGGUCCUAAGGUAGCGAAAUUCCUUGUCGGGUAAGUUCCGACCCGCACGAAUGGCGUAACGAUGGCCACACUGUCUCCUCCCGAGACUCAGCGAAGUUGAAGUGGUUGUGAAGAUGCAAUCUACCCGCUGCUAGACGGAAAGACCCCGUGAACCUUUACUGUAGCUUUGCAUUGGACUUUGAAGUCACUUGUGUAGGAUAGGUGGGAGGCUUGGAAGCAGAGACGCCAGUCUCUGUGGAGUCGUCCUUGAAAUACCACCCUGGUGUCUUUGAGGUUCUAACCCAGACCCGUCAUCCGGGUCGGGGACCGUGCAUGGUAGGCAGUUUGACUGGGGCGGUCUCCUCCCAAAGCGUAACGGAGGAGUUCGAAGGUUACCUAGGUCCGGUCGGAAAUCGGACUGAUAGUGCAAUGGCAAAAGGUAGCUUAACUGCGAGACCGACAAGUCGGGCAGGUGCGAAAGCAGGACAUAGUGAUCCGGUGGUUCUGUAUGGAAGGGCCAUCGCUCAACGGAUAAAAGGUACUCCGGGGAUAACAGGCUGAUUCCGCCCAAGAGUUCAUAUCGACGGCGGAGUUUGGCACCUCGAUGUCGGCUCAUCACAUCCUGGGGCUGUAGUCGGUCCCAAGGGUAUGGCUGUUCGCCAUUUAAAGUGGUACGUGAGCUGGGUUUAAAACGUCGUGAGACAGUUUGGUCCCUAUCUGCAGUGGGCGUUGGAAGUUUGACGGGGGCUGCUCCUAGUACGAGAGGACCGGAGUGGACGAACCUCUGGUGUACCGGUUGUAACGCCAGUUGCAUAGCCGGGUAGCUAAGUUCGGAAGAGAUAAGCGCUGAAAGCAUCUAAGCGCGAAACUCGCCUGAAGAUGAGACUUCCCUUGCGGUUUAACCGCACUAAAGGGUCGUUCGAGACCAGGACGUUGAUAGGUGGGGUGUGGAAGCGCGGUAACGCGUGAAGCUAACCCAUACUAAUUGCCCGUGAGGCUUGACUCUAU
RNAcentral lists this ribosomal RNA (2900 nucleotides) under Neisseria gonorrhoeae. RNAcentral's name for it is "23S ribosomal RNA". It matches the Rfam family "Bacterial large subunit ribosomal RNA". Lineage: Bacteria; Pseudomonadati; Pseudomonadota; Betaproteobacteria; Neisseriales; Neisseriaceae. The record is from RNAcentral.